Molecule: long non-coding RNA, 5503 nt
Organism: Eriocheir sinensis (Chinese mitten crab)
Lineage: Eukaryota; Metazoa; Arthropoda; Malacostraca; Decapoda; Varunidae
Exons: 4
Source: RefSeq, a predicted model, not a curated record
CCCAUACAGCUUAAAAGGUUAAUACCUCGGUAGUUAUUUGCAUCAUUAACGUCUCCCUUGUUUUUAUAAAGAGGUAUUAUAACGCCAGUGAGCCACUCCGAUGGAAAGACACCUGUGUCAAGGAUCUUAUUGAAUAGUUCAACAUAUAAAGGGCAGAGUAAGUCUUGUGUACAUUUUAUAUAUUCAUUAAUGAUGUUGUCACUACCAGGAGACUUGCCUUUUUUCAGUUUAGCAAUACAACGCUUUAUCUCCGCACGUGUUAUAGGGUUGUUAAGUGCGGGCGAGUCAGCGUCACUAAGUUUCAUAAGCAGUUCUCUCGUUUGCAUUACUAUCGUCGUCCUCUGCGUAGAGCAAUUUAAAGUGGUCAUAAAAUUUAUCGAGUGGUAUUUGAUUAUUUUUCUCUACUUUGCUACUUUUUAGAAUCUUCCAGUAUGCCUUUGGGUCUUUAGUUUUGUUUGCUCUUAAUUGGUGAAGUAUAUUACUAUUACCUUUAUUCCUUACUCUCUUUAGCUCGCUUUUAUAGUUCGUACUUUUUUAAGCAGUGUCUCAAUUAUCUUAUCCCCAGUCUCCUCCUUGUGCACAUUACAAAUCAUGAUCUUUGGCCUCAGUUUUCCCACACUUUUAGUACUGACUUUCUCCACAGAUUGCAAUUUUUGGGCUGCCUCAUUCCUCAUAUUAUCAUCAUCAAAGUUCAUUAUAAUAUUACCUCCAAUAGUGAAUCUUGAAUCAGUAAUCUGAAUGUCACGUAAUGCUUCAGAAACUUCACCUUUCAACUCUGGAGCCUUUUUAUCUUGUUCAAAGGCCUUCACAACAAGUAAGUUCUUCUUAACUUUCCUCUUACGUUUGAUGACCUCAGCCCAAGUUGCAUCUGCUGACUCCACAUGCUCGGCUCGCUGCAACACGUCUGCCACAUCCUGCGCCACCUCCCCCAGCUCCUCCUUCACGCUGACCGCUCGUGACUAAACUUCUUGUUUCACUUCUGAUAUUUCCUUAGACAAUUCCAGCUUGAAUUCUUCCACUUUUUCCACAAUUUUGGUAGCCAGAGAUGCUUUAUGAAGGCAUGGGUUGCAAAUCCAAUUUACUUUAGAUAUAUUCUCCGACUUAAUUCCAGGCAGAUGAGCACACUUCAGAUGACACCACUUAGGGCACAGACAGCACCCUAUCCACUUGUCGCCUGUGGGAUCCGCACAAACGUAACAGAACUCCACCGAGUUCUUGGCUCGGCCAGCCAUGUCGACUCAGCGCUUUCGCAAGCAAGGCGCAGCACCUCCGACCCACGCGGCGACUCACCUCUCACUCCAUUCAGAUGCAGGACAAACAACAUGCAACUAAAAGACAGAAACACACCGGCAAGAGGAAACCAAGUGCGACAUGUGUGAAGCUGAAAACGAAGACCUGCGACACUUCCUGCUCUGGUGCCCGGCCUGUGCAGAGGAAAGGAAAAAGUGUGCGAGGCUGCAGCGGCCUUACGAGGAAGAAGAAGAGGACGACACCAUUGGAAAAUUAUUUGAAAAUGAACACACCGAAGAAACAAAAGCAACAGUACACAAGUUUUGGACAAUAAGAGAAAAAGGAAAAUAAUAGGCCCAGACAGUAGACCGAUUCCUACUACUAAUAAAAGACAGAAAAAAGGGCGGGAAUAAGAGGAGGCACAAUAACAAGCGACGAAGUAAGAAAAGAAGUUAGAGCAUGGGACACAAAAAUGUGGACACAAGAAAUUCAAGAAAAAGCAACCCUGAAAAUAUAUAGAACCUGCUGGAGAGAAGAGAUGGGAGGACAAGAGGAUCAGUGUACGACAACAGUGAAGCAUCAGCCAUCCUCGUCACUGCAGAACAAAUAACAUGAGGCUGAGAGAUAGGAAAAGAUUUAACAACGAGAGUACGGCGUGCACCAUGUGUGGAGACGAGCUGGAGGACCUGAGGCACUUGAUCAUCCUGCACUGCCCGGCCCACGACGAGGAGAGAGGCAGCAUCCCAGCGUCCAUACCACCAGGACGAGGAGGACCAUCGGAAGAGCUCUUUUUGAAAAUGGAGACGGUAAAGGCAGUACUAUAUAAAUUUUGGCAAAAAAAGAGAAAAGAAACGAAAGGAAGAGGAGACGUAAAGAAAUCUAGAAACUCAAAAGACCCAGACCGAGAAAGACCACAGACCCAGAGAAAGCUACAUUAGGGUUAACAGCCUCAGUUUGCACCAAGGAGACUAUAGAACAGGAGAGGGGGCCUCUAUGGGAGACCGUGGGCGGGUGUUGGUGUAUGUCGGUUGCAACAGAUGGCGCAGGAGCAGCUUUGUUUACAUUCAGGCGCCUCCCCCCCUCCAGACCCACCCCCCUAACCCCCAGAACCAAUCAGCAGUGUUGCUACAUGGGAUCAAGCAGCAAAUGUUGCUACUUUUUUCUUCAGUCUGGUUAUUUCCCAUUUAAAAAAAAAAAAAGGUAGAUAAAUAUUAAAAUGAACAGUAGGAACUAUAUAUACUGUAUAUAUUUACUAGGUAGAUAUAGCCUGACUGCAUGUCAUGAGUAAUGCUAUUAUUGUUAUAUUAUUAUACCGCAAUUAUAUUACUUUCUCUGCAUGUGUGGUUAGAUGUGUUUUAUGUGUUUAACCUUUCUGUAUACAUACUGGAAUGAACCAAGGAAUUGUAGCCCUACUGCCGUUCUUUAAAAACUAUGUGAUCAUGUUUUUCUUCCAAACUCAUUGUUUUAGCACGCACGCUGACUUCCACCAGUAAUGAUGAUAUAUAGACAUUGAGUCAUUGGUUUGUAGGGGGAAAGAGUGGGUGAAUAUAAUUAUCUCGGUCUAACUUAUACUGUUUAUUAUACGGUAUAAUAAACAGUAUAAGUUAGACCGAGAUAAUUAUAGCGGUAUAAUUUAUACCGCUAUUCGCAGCAAUAUCUUUCUCUGCUCCGAUUGCAACGCUGCCUCGUUCAAAAAUCAUAACACCGCCGCGGCCGCCACGUUUACCAGCCGGAGCCUCAAAUCAUGUCCCUUUGUGGUGAUAAAGAGGACACAGCCUGGUGUGAAGCUACAUUUAUUACGGAAGGAUGCCAGCCGGGAUCCGAACACGUCCGAUAUCAUCCAAGAGAAUGUGGCAGCUGAAGGGGGAGAGGCCAAGAAAGAGGCCAAGGGUGAAGACAUUUAGCCACCCCCCCUGAAGUACAUGGCAUCAUUCAACCCUCUUGGUGAGCUGCAGGAAUGUGCUUCUCAUUGCAGUGCACCAGCUCCAUGUACUGAUUUUGGUGUGAACUUGAUGGGGUUGGAGGAAACUCGACUCGGCCAUCAAGCUCACCACAAUAUAACAUGAAAAGUGAAAAUUGCUGCACACACCAGUCUGUCGUCUGCACCGGGAGGCAAGGCAGCUCAAAGCCCAGGCUGUUACAAAUCCUGGGCAGUUUUUGCCCAGAGCCAGCAAUUUUUUAGAUCCAAUAGGGAUGGAUUUUUUCUGAGGUCAGGUUCAACAUGCUGCAAGAUGCCAAGAUCUAAGCCUAGUAGGAGAUAUGGGUUACAAGAGAGGAGGUUUGCUCUGGCCUUAUACUAUCAAAGUCCAAAUGCUAAUAGAUUUCUGAGCACAGUAUUUCACUUGUCUUCAGUUUCAACACUUCACUCAUGACUCAGGGGUAUUUCAGUACAUGUUGGCUGGAGCAAACAGACUCUGACAACCCUGCAGCAAAGAGCACAGGCUUUGUCAAAAGAAGAGAAACUUCGUGGGAUUUGCCAUUAUUUAGUAUUACUCUUGUUACGCCAAGAAUUUUUUUCCAUAUACUUUGCCAAAUAUUGCAAGUAAUGCACCAUUGUUGGGCUUACUUGUUAUAAAUCAGAUCUUGUUCAAUUAACAAGCUUUGGGUGUCUGCCACUUUCCAGUUGUAAUGCAAGGAAUCAUUUAUCUUCCCUGCUAGAUAUCACACGUAAUGCACCAUUGUUGGUUUUGCUUGUUAUAAAUCAGAUCUUGUUCAGUUAAAAAGCUUUAGGUGUCUGCCACUUUCCAAUUGUAAUGCAAGGAAUCCCCUGCCAGAUAUUGCAUGUAAUGCACCAUUGUUGGUUUUGCCUAUUAUAAAUCAGAUCUUGUUCAGCUCACAAGCUUUGAAUAUCUGCCAUUGUUUAUUUCAGGUGUAAUGCUUGGAAGCAUUUGUUCUCUUCCCUACCCAACAGUAUGCAAUGCUUUAUUGUGGAUUUUGCCUGUUAUAUUUAAUCAUGUUCAGGUAGCAAGCUUUUGGUGUCUGCCUUACCUAAUAUGUCCUGCAGUGACACUUGGCUUGGUUUCAUAAUGUGAAAUACAGCAUGUAAUUUCAUCACACUAAGUGUCUAUCAUCACGUGUCUGGCAUCAUUAAUGUGGCUUCCAGGAGUAAUCUUGUUUGUAUUACAGCAUGCAAUUUUUUUUCUGCUUUAUAUGAUAUACAUAAUCACAUAGGUAUGAUUUUUUUUUUUUUUUUUUUUUGACAAAAUGUAAUGGCAGUUGAUAUUCUUGACUAAUGCCUCAUAAACCUUGUGAAAAAUAAUGCUUUUUUGAAGGGGGGGGAGCAGAGAGUGGUUUGUUUGGUUGGCCAGUUCAAGGAGUUUCAUAUCAAAUGAUUUUAUUACAUCCAACUUUAAUGUGUGCUAAAAACAUAUAUUUUAUUACAUCCAACUUUAAUGUGUGGUUCCUGCAAUAAAUGCUACAUGUUUGAUGUAGCCUAUGAAAUACAUCACUCUCUGCCCUGUAAUUUGGUGUGUCACAUACUGCAGCAUAACUUUCCUGCUAUUUUCUUACAUUAUGAGUUGCCUUAUUUUGUCUCAUUUGCUUUUAUCAUAUGUGCCUCUGCUGCAUAGUUGUGCCUACUGAGCUUAAUAUCUUCAUGACCCUGACACCAAGGUCAGAGCUUGUGAGAUCAUACCGUGUCCUACAUUCCAUUUUCACCUCCAGGCUCGGCUGUCUCCCAGGACCACCAAGUUAUUGCAUUCCAUUUAAGACAACUCAUGUGUUACCUUCUUAAUGUCCUCUAUGAUGUAUUUCAGCAUGUUUUAUGAUGCUUUGCUCUUAUAUUGAUGUGCCUUGCAACAUUUUUAUACUGUUUUCAUUGUAUAUAACGCACCAUUGUUGGUUUUGCCUGUUAUAAAUUGGGUCAUGUUCAGUUAACAAGCUUUGAGUGUCUCCCAUUGUUUAUUUCAGUUGUAAUGCUUAGAAGCUUUUGUUCUCUGCCCUGUCAAGCAGUAUGCAAUGCUUGCCAUUAUCUGGCACUUGUACAGUUAGUAUGAUAUUUUUACUCAGCUAAGAGCAUUUUGCAAAAGGUAAAGGUAAGGCUGGGGGCAUACGCUGUAGCAGCACGUGGCCUCGGUGCUCAUCUCUGUAACAUUAGCCCAUGAGCCUGUGGUGUUAGGGAACCCAUUACCCUGGGACACAGGACCAGUGUGACAUCCGGGUUACCACAGUUGCAAAGGCAUUAUAGUAAUUUAGCAUGCAUAGAAUGUUGUAUGCUUUGCUUGUAUUUAAAGCACUGUAUAUGUUUGCUACACACACACACACACACACACAC